GCCUGGGUGGCUCAGUCGGUUGAGCGUCCGACUUCGGCUCAGGUCGGGAUCUCGUGGUUUGUGGGUUCGAGCCCCGCGUCGGGCU
This is a transfer RNA of Felis catus (domestic cat), 85 nucleotides long. It matches the Rfam family "tRNA". From Rfam's summary of the family: Transfer RNA (tRNA) molecules are approximately 80 nucleotides in length. Their secondary structure includes four short double-helical elements and three loops (D, anti-codon, and T loops). The record is from Rfam. Lineage: Eukaryota; Metazoa; Chordata; Mammalia; Carnivora; Felidae.